RNAcentral lists this unclassified non-coding RNA (148 nucleotides) under Cladosporium cladosporioides. RNAcentral describes it as "sequence contains ITS2". The record is from RNAcentral. Lineage: Eukaryota; Fungi; Ascomycota; Dothideomycetes; Cladosporiales; Cladosporiaceae.
CACCACUCAAGCCUCGCUUGGUAUUGGGCAUCGCGGUCCGCCGCGUGCCUCAAAUCGACCGGCUGGGUCUUUCGUCCCCUCAGCGUUGUGGAAACUAUUCGCUAAAGGGUGUUCGGGAGGCUACGCCGUAAAACAACCCCAUUUCUAA